Small nuclear RNA from Mus caroli (Ryukyu mouse), 108 nucleotides. The record is from RefSeq and is a predicted model, not a curated record. NCBI's taxonomy places the organism in Eukaryota, Metazoa, Chordata, Mammalia, Rodentia, Muridae.
GUGCUCAUUUAGGAAGCACAUAUUCUAAAAUUGGAAAAAUACAAAAAAGAUUAGCAUGUCCCCUGCACAAGAAUGAUAUGUGAAUUUGUGGAACAUAUAUAUAUGUGU